GAGUUGACAGUGUCAGACUGUAUCUUCCUAGCAACAGCGGAGUGGUUGCAUAACCAACAGAUGAGAGGGUGGUGUUCCCAGUGUUCAUAUCAUUCCCCAGCAGAUUAUUUUUAACAGAUUUGUUAAUCCCCAGCUUGAGGGUGAUUAGCAAGUUCAUAUCCCCAGCAAAGGUCGUUUCCUACGACAUUUCCCCAGGAAGUGUUUUCCCCACAGACUCUCCUCACAGAGCCUCGCC
Molecule: long non-coding RNA, 235 nt
Filed under: Lathyrus oleraceus (garden pea)
Lineage: Eukaryota; Viridiplantae; Streptophyta; Magnoliopsida; Fabales; Fabaceae
Description: Pisum sativum (pea) long non-coding RNA (PSAT_LNC012144)
Source: RNAcentral